GUCAUCCCGACUUACCAACCCUUUGCAAACUCCGAAUACCAGUAAGUACUAUCCGGGAGACACACGGCGGGUGCUAACGUCCGUCGUGAAGAGGGAAACAACCCAGACCGCCAGCUAAGGUCCCAAAGUUAUAGCUAAGUGGGAAACGAUGUGGGAAGGCUCAGACAGCCAGGAUGUUGGCUUAGAAGCAGCCAUCAUUUAAAGAAAGCGUAAUAGCUCACUGGUCGAGUCGGCCUGCGCGGAAGAUUUAACGGGGCUAAGCUAUACACCGAAGCUGCGGCAAUGUGCUACGCACAUUGGGUAGGGGAGCGUUCUGUAAGCCGUUGAAGGUGCAUUGUAAAGUGUGCUGGAGGUAUCAGAAGUGCGAAUGCUGACAUGAGUAACGACAAAGGGAGUGAAAAACUCCCUCGCCGGAAGACCAAGGGUUCCUGUCCAACGUUAAUCGGGGCAGGGUGAGUCGACCCCUAAGGCGAGGCCGAAAGGCGUAGUCGAUGGGAAACGGGUUAAUAUUCCCGUACUUCUUACUAUUGCGAUGGGGGGGACGGAGAAGGCUAGGUGAGCCUGGCGACGGUUGUCCAGGUCCAAGUACGUAGGUGGAUGAAUUAGGCAAAUCCGGUUCAUCAUUAACACUGAGAUACGAUGUCGAGCUACUACGGUAGCGAAGUCAUUGAUGCCAUGCUUCCGGGAAAAGCCUCUAAGCUUCAGAUAGUAAGAAAUCGUACCCCAAACCGACACAGGUGGUCGGGUAGAGAAUACCAAGGCGCUUGAGAGAACUCGGGUGAAGGAACUAGGCAAAAUGGUACCGUAACUUCGGGAGAAGGUACGCUCUUAAUGGUGAAGUCCCUCGCGGAUGGAGCUGACGAGAGUCGCAGAUACCAGGUGGCUGCAACUGUUUAUUAAAAACACAGCACUGUGCAAAAUCGUAAGAUGACGUAUACGGUGUGACGCCUGCCCGGUGCCGGAAGGUUAAUUGAUGGGGUUAGACUUCGGUCGAAGCUCUUGAUCGAAGCCCCGGUAAACGGCGGCCGUAACUAUAACGGUCCUAAGGUAGCGAAAUUCCUUGUCGGGUAAGUUCCGACCUGCACGAAUGGCGUAAUGAUGGCCACGCUGUCUCCACCCGAGACUCAGUGAAAUUGAAAUCGCUGUGAAGAUGCAGUGUACCCGCGGCUAGACGGAAAGACCCCGUGAACCUUUACUACAGCUUGGCACUGAACAUUGACCCUACAUGUGUAGGAUAGGUGGGAGGCUUUGAAACGCAGACGCCAGUUUGCGUGGAGCCGUCCUUGAAAUACCACCCUUGUAGUGUUGAUGUUCUAACUUGGCCCCAUUAUCUGGGGUGAGGACAGUGCCUGGUGGGUAGUUUGACUGGGGCGGUCUCCUCCCAAAGAGUAACGGAGGAGCACGAAGGUGGGCUAAUCACGGUCGGACAUCGUGAGGUUAGUGCAAUGGCAUAAGC
RNAcentral lists this ribosomal RNA (1456 nucleotides) under Vibrio parahaemolyticus. RNAcentral describes it as "partial 23S ribosomal RNA". It matches the Rfam family "Bacterial large subunit ribosomal RNA", at positions 926 to 2364 of the family's 2925-position model. Lineage: Bacteria; Pseudomonadati; Pseudomonadota; Gammaproteobacteria; Vibrionales; Vibrionaceae. The record is from RNAcentral.